Molecule: long non-coding RNA, 759 nt
Filed under: Homo sapiens (human)
Lineage: Eukaryota; Metazoa; Chordata; Mammalia; Primates; Hominidae
Description: OIP5 antisense RNA 1
Source: RNAcentral
GAGAAGCUGCGAAGAUGGCGGAGUAAGGCGUGCCGCUGCAAACUGGCCUCUGGGCCGGGGGCGAGCAGCCCCCGGGAGGCCGAGUGCAUCUGUUGGACCGUGCGAGGAGAAGAAAAAAAAUAUCGGCCAGAGGAGAGGAACUAACCGAACAUUCUUCCUCCCUACCUUAUAGAGGGGAGUGGUCAUCUACACUAAAGCAAAGUGUUAGGCGCGUCCGUGCGAAGAGACCACCAAACAGGCUUUGUACCAUCUGGAUAUAUACGUGCAGGCUUGGGCUCAGAGGCCUGACACAAAGGUCUUAAGUAGGGGUCCAUAAACUACUGGAAAUUUUAUGCACAAUUAUACAUUUUUGUGGGAAGAAGAAGGUCCAUAGUAUCAGAUUCUCAAAGAGGACACUGUUUCAUAAAAGCUUGAGAACCACUGCUCCAAGACUUGACAUCUUUUUAAAAUUAAUGCCAGUGCAGGUUCCUUAUCACAGGAAGAAAAUUUUCCUUGACCUUUAGGUGCUUUUAUAUUCAUCUCAAAAACAAAAUUCUGAACUCAGGACUUGGCAAGUAAGUAAUUGUGGGCUAAUCGUUCCAAAUACUGUUUAAGUAGCUUGAAAACAGGUACAUAGAAGUGGAACAAUAAGCCGUUAGCUUCAGCAGAAGACGAACAUGAAAAAUGACUGUAAGCUAUUGAAAUUUAAGUUAAAUCUUUUAUUUUUCAACAAAAGAAAUGUAUUAAAUAAAAAGGAGUAAUCUUGAUCAUUUGCUCAAA